Molecule: ribosomal RNA, 549 nt
Filed under: uncultured bacterium
Lineage: Bacteria
Description: bacterial SSU rRNA
Rfam family: Bacterial small subunit ribosomal RNA
Source: RNAcentral
UAGGGAAUCUUCGGCAAUGGGGGCAACCCUGACCGAGCAACGCCGCGUGAGUGAAGAAGGUUUUCGGAUCGUAAAGCCCUGUUGUAAGAGAAGAACGAGUGUGAGAGUGGAAAGUUCACACUGUGACGGUAACUUACCAGAAAGGGACGGCUGACUACGUGCCAGCAGCCGCGGUAAUACGUAGGUCCCGAGCGUUAUCCGGAUUUAUUGGGCGUAAAGCGAGCGCAGGCGGUUAGAUAAGUCUGAAGUUAAAGGCUGUGGCUUAACCAUAGUACGCUUUGGAAACUGUUUAACUUGAGUGCAGAAGGGGAGAGUGGAAUUCCAUGUGUAGCGGUGAAAUGCGUAGAUAUAUGGAGGAACACCGGUGGCGAAAGCGGCUCUCUGGUCUGUAACUGACGCUGAGGCUCGAAAGCGUGGGGAGCAAACAGGAUUAGAUACCCUGGUAGUCCACGCCGUNNCGAUGAGUGCUAGGUGUUGGGUCCUUUCCGGGACUCAGUGCCGCAGCUAACGCAUUAAGCACUCCGCCUGGGGAGUACGACCGCAAGGUUG